This 73-nucleotide transfer RNA is filed under the name Anguilla anguilla (European eel). It matches the Rfam family "tRNA". Rfam says of the family: Transfer RNA (tRNA) molecules are approximately 80 nucleotides in length. The record is from Rfam by way of RNAcentral. Lineage: Eukaryota; Metazoa; Chordata; Actinopteri; Anguilliformes; Anguillidae.
GGCCGGUUAGCUCAGUUGGUUAGAGCGUGGUGCUAAUAACGCCAAGGUCGCGGGUUCGACCCCCGCACGGUCA